GCUUUUCUCCCCUUUGCAGAGUUUAUCCUUAAUAUGUUCAUCCUAACUAGUGACGGAUAUCCUCUUUGUGGUAUUCUAUCCAGUAACUGAUAGAUGUAAUCCCUAUUCUCCCUCUCGGAGUCUAUCCUUGAUAUGUUCAUCUUAACCGGCGACGGAUAUUGUCCUUAAUGGUAUUCUAUCCAGCAUUCGAUAGAUGUAAUUCCUAUUCUUUUUGUUCAUAUGAUUUAUCCUUGAUAUGUUCAUCCUAACCGAUUAUGG
Molecule: long non-coding RNA, 258 nt
Filed under: Lathyrus oleraceus (garden pea)
Lineage: Eukaryota; Viridiplantae; Streptophyta; Magnoliopsida; Fabales; Fabaceae
Description: Pisum sativum (pea) long non-coding RNA (PSAT_LNC028186)
Source: RNAcentral